Molecule: ribosomal RNA, 493 nt
Filed under: uncultured bacterium
Lineage: Bacteria
Description: partial 16S ribosomal RNA
Rfam family: Bacterial small subunit ribosomal RNA
Source: RNAcentral
AGUGAACGCUGGCGGUAGGCCUAACACAUGCAAGUCGAACGGCAGCACAGUAAGAGCUUGCUCUUACGGGUGGCGAGUGGCGGACGGGUGAGGAAUACAUCGGAAUCUACUUUUUCGUGGGGGAUAACGUAGGGAAACUUACGCUAAUACCGCAUACGACCUACGGGUGAAAGCAGGGGAUCUUCGGACCUUGCGCGAUUGAAUGAGCCGAUGUCGGAUUAGCUAGUUGGCGGGGUAAAGGCCCACCAAGGCGACGAUCCGUAGCUGGUCUGAGAGGAUGAUCAGCCACAAUGGAACUGAGACACGGUCCAGACUCCUACGGGAGGCAGCAGUGGGGAAUAUUGGACAAUGGGCGCAAGCCUGAUCCAGCCAUACCGCGUGGGUGAAGAAGGCCUUCGGGUUGUAAAGCCCUUUUGUUGGGAAAGAAAAGCAGCAGGUUAAUACCCCGCUGUUCUGACGGUACCCAAAGAAUAAGCACCGGCUAACUUCGUGC